UACGUAGGGCGCAAGCGUUAUCCGGAAUUAUUGGGCGUAAAGAGCUCGUAGGCGGUUUGUCGCGUCUGCCGUGAAAGUCCGGGGCUUAACUCCGGAUCUGCGGUGGGUACGGGCAGACUAGAGUGAUGUAGGGGAGACUGGAAUUCCUGGUGUAGCGGUGAAAUGCGCAGAUAUCAGGAGGAACACCGAUGGCGAAGGCAGGUCUCUGGGCUGUAACUGACGCUGAGGAGCGAAAGCAUGGGGAGCAAACAGG
RNAcentral lists this ribosomal RNA (253 nucleotides) under uncultured bacterium. RNAcentral's name for it is "partial 16S ribosomal RNA". It matches the Rfam family "Bacterial small subunit ribosomal RNA", at positions 524 to 776 of the family's 1533-position model. The record is from RNAcentral.